Molecule: long non-coding RNA, 3971 nt
Filed under: Marmota monax (woodchuck)
Lineage: Eukaryota; Metazoa; Chordata; Mammalia; Rodentia; Sciuridae
Source: RNAcentral
CCCUGUUUGCACUGUUUGAGAAGUUCCCUUAGCUUUUUACAUCCUUCCAUAGUGAUUUCCUUUCCUGUAAAUUCUCAGCUUCCAACCUUAGACCUGUCUUCUUAAUGGCUUUAAGGUUACAACUGGUCUUCCAUCCCUUACCCAUAACCCCCAAGCCUGCAAGCCUGCAGGGCUUUUGCUAUGAGACUGUGAAGUAGCACCUCUUCCCUAGGUCAGGCAGGCUGAGAGGUUCCAGGAAUGAAGAAUCGGAAGAUUUUUUUUUUUUUUUUUUUUUUACAAAGAGUAAAUAUUUUAAUUUUUUAAGUAUUCUCAAUUUCAUAAUAUUUUAAAUAAUCACACUAACCAGAUACAUUCCCCUUGUACCAUAUCAGUAUUAACUUUAAGUAUUCACAUCCAUAAUUAACAUAAUUAGGAAAUUUAGCAAAGAUGGUAAACAUCUACAUGAAUGUUCUCAUACUUGUGGCAAUUUAGUCUCUAAAAUAAGUUAGGCUGGAUUUACAUAAAAGCUGAAUUUGGUGCCUCUUUCAAAUUUAUCCUUGAAAAAACAAAUAGUCCUGGUGAGCAGCAGGUUAUACAGGGUGCCAGGCAAAUCCUACCAGAAACUGGGAGCUGCUAUUCCAUACUACAAAAUGCAGGAGAAGCAGAAGAGUGAACAUGUUGGGGGCUGCUAUUCUGACUGUCCAGGCACCAGAAUCACCCUGAGCCAGUGCCACCCAUCCCAGCUCUGGACACAGCAGUACUCUGGUGCUCACUAGGAAGCCAGCACCUGGAAGAUUGCUUUUUUCAUAAAAGAGUUGUGCACACUAAAACAAGAACUCCCAAGGCUAUGGUGGACUCCCUCUACUAGAGUUUCACAUUUUAAAUGAUAAAAACAAGAAAUGCUUUUUAAAUACAAGUGUGAGAAAGUAGGGAAAAUUUAAACAUCAAGAAUCAUAAGAAUAUAUAUAGUAGUACUGAAUAUAAAUUUUAUUUUUUUUUAUUUUUUAUUUUUUAUUUGUAGAUUGGCCCAAUACCUUUAUUUGACUUACUUUUACGUAGUGCUGAGAAGCCAAUCGAGUGUCUCACAUGUGCAAGCACUCUACCAUUGAGCUACAACCUCAGCCCCCAAAAUUGUUUUAAAACAUUUAAAUACACCAUUAAGACAUGAAAGACAGGCAGCAUAGGGAGGAGAUAUCUACAAUACUGACACUAAAAACAGUUCAGAACACAUAAGAGACAAGGAUCCUACAAAUCAAUGUGAUAUGAAAUAGAAAACAGGAAUUUCACAAAAGAAGUCAAGCAAGUUCAGAUCACAGAAACCUAACACUGUCGUCACUGCAGCCCCUUUAGGAGCAUGGGUCUCACCAAGCCUUCGGAUGUGCUGCCGCUUCCUGUUGCCACUUAAGUCCUAUCUCGGUGCUGAACGCGUCACUGUGUCUACACCUCCAACAAAUGCCCUAAGGCUGCCUCCUUAGGCCUCAUCCCACGGCCCCGGGUUCCCUGGUGGCCCUCCUGGUGGCCCUCCGCACCGGGCUCCAGGACCGCGGAGGCAGCCUGCAGGACUCGGCAGGCCUUCGUUCCAGGCGGACCCGGAGCCACACUCCCCUGACCAGACUCGGUCCCACCCGUGUGCAAGCCCUGACACCCUCGAGGUCCCAGGAGAACAGGCAGGUCCAGGUUUAGCUCGGCCUGAGCGGAACUUCAAGGCAAACCGCACGCCCUCGGCGCCGCGCGACCCACAAUGCCCUGCGCCUACCUGGCCCCGCCCCCUGCACCGCGGCCUCAGAUUGGCCGCGGGACUUCCGCUUCCCUGGUGGGCGGUGCUGUGGCCCCGGCCGGGGGCUGAGUUCCCGAUCGCCAUGCGGGAGGGCAGAGCCAGCCCAGGUGCGUCCAGCGGCAACGUGCGGGGAAGGUGGGAGGCCUGCCCCGAAGCCGAGGCGGCGAAGCUGCUGCCCUUCCUGGCGCCUGGCGCGCGGGCGGACCUGCAGGCCGCAGCAGUGCAGCACGUGCUGGCGCUGACCGGCGCGGAGUCGGGCCGCCAGCUGCUGGCUGGGCAGCAGGCGCUGCUGCAGGCGCUGAGUGAGCUGGCGGCGGCUCCGGCCCCUGCCCCAGCCCGCGACGCCGCCCGCGCGCUUGUGAACUUGGCUGCUGACCCCAGCCUGCACGAGCCGCUUCUGGCCGCCGACCCCGGGCUGCCGGCUCGUCUGUUGGGUCGUGCGUUGGACCCACAGUGGCCCUGGGCGGAAGAGGCGGCUGCCACGCUAGCCAACCUCAGUCGCGAGCCUGCGCCGUGUUCCGCGCUGAUGGCGGCACUGGCAGCAGUCGAGCCAGGGCAGUCGAGCUUGGAGCGGUUGGUGUGUGCACUCUGCACGCGCGGCUACAACGCGCACGCGCCCCUACAUUACCUGGGGCCGUUGCUCUCCAACCUUAGCCAGCGGCCUGCCGCACGUGCCUUCCUGCUGGACCCUGACAGGUGAAGCCCAGACUUCGCGCGGGUGGGGAGCGGGUGGAAGUGAGCAGGGAUGGCAACUAAAGGCCUCUUCCAAUAGGUGCGUGGUCCAGCGGCUGCUGCCCCUUAUCCAGCGUUCAGACUCCUCAGUGCGCAGGGGAGGGGUGGUAGGGACUCUGCGGAAUUGCUGCUUUGAGCACCGUGAGUUGAAGGGGGGGGAGGUUUGGGUGUUUCUGGGGUGGGCACUGGACUCUGGGUCCUCUACGAACCGACCUUAUUAUUAUUAUUAUUAGUUGUAAAUUGACACAGUAUUUUUUCAUGUAUUUAUUUUUUUGUGGUGCUGAGGAUCAAAACCAGUGCCUCACACCUGUGAGGCAAGCGCUCUACCACUGAGCUACAGUCCCAGGCCCCCGACCUUAUUCUUGUCCCCACCCCCAGGACACCAUGAGUGGUUGCUUGGGCCUGAAGUCGACAUUCUUCCCUUCUUGCUACUGCCUCUGGCUGGGCCUGAGGAUUUCUCGGAGGAAGAGAUGAACCGUGAGUGGCUUGGAUUGAUGGUGCCUAAGGGUGGGCCAGGCAGGAAGGAAGUCAACCCCAGGAGAGGGACGAGAAAGUGCCCAGACCCCUUCUGAAACUUUCCAGGAAAGAGUUGCUGAGCACAGAUGAGGCUCACCCAGGUAGAGCCAGGUCUAACUGCCCAGUCAAGGCACCCAGUGCCUCCCACACUCACCCCCAGGGUUGCCUGUUGACCUGCAGUACCUGCCGCCAGAGAAGCAGCGUGAACCUGAUGCUGACAUCCGCAAGAUGCUCAUUGAAGCCAUCAUGCUGGUGAGCAGGGGUGUGCUAUGUUAAUGCCACCGUUCUACACACACAUAGGAGCACACUGACAUAUGAGUAACCUCUUCAAUAUCCCCAGCUGACAGCCACUGCACCUGGGCGGCAGCAGGUGCGGGACCAGGGAACCUACCUGAUCCUUCGAGAGCUGCAUAGCUGGGAACCAGAGCCUGAUGUGCGGUUGGCUUGUGAAAAGCUCAUCCAGGUGGGUGCAAGGUUGGAAAGGCUGAGGAAUGGGAGCCCACAGCUGUCCAGCUGUUCUACUCACCUGCCUCUUCUCCUGGCAGGUGCUAAUUGGAGAUGAGCCAGAAUGUGGCAUGGAAAACCUGCUGGAGGUGCAGGUGCCUGAGGAUGUGGAACGACAGCUGCAGCAGCUGGACCGGGAGCAGCAGCAGCUGGCCCAAGAGUCAAGGGUGGAAGGGACUGCACCUACCUGAGGUCCCUUCAGCAUGGGAGUCCAGAGCCACCUUUGCCAGACCUGCUAGACCAGACCUGCCUACAGACCUUCAAAUCCCCUGUGCCCGCUGAGAAGCAGAGCUAUACUUAGGCUAGAGUGAAUGCUCAGUAAAUGUUGGAGGGUUGAGGACACUUCCCAACCCUAUGUCUCCUGUUGAUACCAAUAAGAAUAAAGGUUGAGCCAAAGCCCACCAGGCCCUGUGCCACAGCUGCCUUCACAUGAGGCAGAUAGGUGGGCCAGUGGAGCCAUGAG